This 253-nucleotide ribosomal RNA is filed under the name uncultured bacterium. RNAcentral describes it as "partial 16S ribosomal RNA". It matches the Rfam family "Bacterial small subunit ribosomal RNA", at positions 524 to 776 of the family's 1533-position model. The record is from RNAcentral.
UACGUAGGGUGCAAGCGUUAAUCGGAAUUACUGGGCGUAAAGCGUGCGCAGGCGGUUUGCUAAGACCGGUGUGAAAUCCCCGGGCUUAACCUGGGAACUGCGCUUGUUACUGGCAAGCUAGAGUGUGGCAGAGGGGGGUGGAAUUCCAGGUGUAGCAGUGAAAUGCGUAGAUAUCUGGAGGAACACCGAUGGCGAAGGCAGCCCCCUGGGCUAACACUGACGCUCAUGCACGAAAGCGUGGGGAGCAAACAGG